UACGUAGGGAGCAAGCGUUGUCCGGAAUCAUUGGGCGUAAAGCGCGCGUAGGCGGCCCUGUAAGUCCGUUGUGAAAGUCAAAGGCUCAACCUUUGAAAGCCGAUGGAUACUGCAGGGCUAGAGUCCGGAAGAGGCGAGUGGAAUUCCUGGUGUAGCGGUGAAAUGCGUAGAUAUCUGGAGGAAUACCGGUGGCGAAGGCGGCAUCCUGGACCGGCAUUGACGCUGAGGAGCGAAAGCUAGGGGAGCAAACGGG
RNAcentral lists this ribosomal RNA (253 nucleotides) under uncultured bacterium. RNAcentral's name for it is "partial 16S ribosomal RNA". It matches the Rfam family "Bacterial small subunit ribosomal RNA", at positions 524 to 776 of the family's 1533-position model. The record is from RNAcentral.